AUCUAUUUACUUCCUCCGUCCCUAAAUAAUUGUAGUUAGAGAGAAUAGUUUAGUUCUUUCCAACUACAAUUAUUUAGGUACAGAGGGAGUAUGUAGGA
RNAcentral lists this microRNA precursor (98 nucleotides) under Hordeum vulgare. RNAcentral describes it as "miR5049e stem-loop (hvu-MIR5049e)". Lineage: Eukaryota; Viridiplantae; Streptophyta; Magnoliopsida; Poales; Poaceae. The record is from miRBase by way of RNAcentral.